AAAACGACUCUCGGCAACGGAUAUCUCGGCUCUCGCAUCGAUGAAGAACGUAGCGAAAUGCGAUACUUGGUGUGAAUUGCAGAAUCCCGUGAACCAUCAAGUCUUUGAACGCAAGUUGCGCCCGGAGCCGUUAAGGCCGAGGGCACGUCUGCCUGGGCGUCACA
RNAcentral lists this ribosomal RNA (164 nucleotides) under Cryptandra micrantha. RNAcentral describes it as "5.8S ribosomal RNA". It matches the Rfam family "5.8S ribosomal RNA". Rfam says of the family: 5.8S ribosomal RNA (5.8S rRNA) is a component of the large subunit of the eukaryotic ribosome. It is transcribed by RNA polymerase I as part of the 45S precursor that also contains 18S and 28S rRNA. The record is from RNAcentral. Lineage: Eukaryota; Viridiplantae; Streptophyta; Magnoliopsida; Rosales; Rhamnaceae.